AUGCAGUCGAGCGGUAGAGAGAAGCUUGCUUCUCUUGAGAGCGGCGGACGGGUGAGUAAUGCCUAGGAAUCUGCCUGGUAGUGGGGGAUAACGUUCGGAAACGGACGCUAAUACCGCAUACGUCCUACGGGAGAAAGCAGGGGACCUUCGGGCCUUGCGCUAUCAGAUGAGCCUAGGUCGGAUUAGCUAGUUGGUGAGGUAAUGGCUCACCAAGGCGACGAUCCGUAACUGGUCUGAGAGGAUGAUCAGUCACACUGGAACUGAGACACGGUCCAGACUCCUACGGGAGGCAGCAGUGGGGAAUAUUGGACAAUGGGCGAAAGCCUGAUCCAGCCAUGCCGCGUGUGUGAAGAAGGUCUUCGGAUUGUAAAGCACUUUAAGUUGGGAGGAAGGGCAGUUACUUAAUACGUGAUUGUUUUGACGUUACCGACAGAAUAAGCACCGGCUAACUCUGUGCCAGCAGCCGCGGUAAUACAGAGGGUGCAAGCGUUAAUCGGAAUUACUGGGCGUAAAGCGCGCGUAGGUGGUUUGUUAAGUUGGAUGUGAAAUCCCCGGGCUCAACCUGGGAACUGCAUUCAAAACUGACUGACUAGAGUAUGGUAGAGGGUGGUGGAAUUUCCUGUGUAGCGGUGAAAUGCGUAGAUAUAGGAAGGAACACCAGUGGCGAAGGCGACCACCUGGACUAAUACUGACACUGAGGUGCGAAAGCGUGGGGAGCAAACAGGAUUAGAUACCCUGGUAGUCCACGCCGUAACGAUGUCAACUAGCCGUUGGGAGCCUUGAGCUCUUAGUGGCGCAGCUAACGCAUUAAGUUGACCGCCUGGGGAGUACGGCCGCAAGGUUAAAACUCAAAUGAAUUGACGGGGCCCGCACAAGCGGUGGAGCAUGUG
This 890-nucleotide ribosomal RNA is filed under the name Pseudomonas sp. RNAcentral describes it as "bacterial SSU rRNA". It matches the Rfam family "Bacterial small subunit ribosomal RNA", at positions 55 to 943 of the family's 1533-position model. Lineage: Bacteria; Pseudomonadati; Pseudomonadota; Gammaproteobacteria; Pseudomonadales; Pseudomonadaceae. The record is from RNAcentral.